RNAcentral lists this unclassified non-coding RNA (357 nucleotides) under soil metagenome. Its description in RNAcentral is "partial contains 5.8S ribosomal RNA, internal transcribed spacer 2, and large subunit ribosomal RNA". The stretch from base 1 to 120 matches the Rfam family "5.8S ribosomal RNA", at positions 35 to 154 of the family's 154-position model. The record is from RNAcentral.
GAUGAAGAACGUAGCGAAAUGCGAUACGUAAUGUGAAUUGCAGAAUUCAGUGAAUCAUCGAAUCUUUGAACGCACAUUGCGCCCGUCAGUAUUCUGGCGGGCAUGCCUGUUCGAGCGUCAUUACGCCCCUCAAGUCCCCUGUGGACUUGGUGUUGGGGAUCGGCGAGGCUGGUUUUCCAGCACAGCCGUCCCUUAAAUUAAUUGGCGGUCUCGCCGCGGCCCUCCUCUGCGCAGUAGUAAAACACUCGCAACAGGAGCCCGGCGCGGUCCACUGCCGUAAAACCCCCCAACUUUUUAUAGUUGACCUCGAAUCAGGUAGGACUACCCGCUGAACUUAAGCAUAUCAAUAACGGAGGA